AUUGAACGCUGGCGGCAUGCUUUACACAUGCAAGUCGAACGGCAGCGGGGGCUUCGGCCCGCCGGCGAGUGGCGAACGGGUGAGUAAUGCAUCGGAACGUGCCCAGUCAUGGGGGAUAACUACGCGAAAGCGUAGCUAAUACCGCAUACGUCCUGAGGGAGAAAGCGGGGGAUCUUCGGACCUCGCGCGAUUGGAGCGGCCGAUGUCGGAUUAGCUAGUUGGUGGGGUAAAAGCCCACCAAGGCGACGAUCCGUAGCGGGUCUGAGAGGAUGAUCCGCCACACUGGGACUGAGACACGGCCCAGACUCCUACGGGAGGCAGCAGUGGGGAAUUUUGGACAAUGGGGGCAACCCUGAUCCAGCCAUGCCGCGUGAGUGAAGAAGG
This 384-nucleotide ribosomal RNA is filed under the name uncultured bacterium. Its description in RNAcentral is "bacterial SSU rRNA". It matches the Rfam family "Bacterial small subunit ribosomal RNA", at positions 29 to 414 of the family's 1533-position model. The record is from RNAcentral.